Molecule: ribosomal RNA, 450 nt
Filed under: uncultured bacterium
Lineage: Bacteria
Description: partial 16S ribosomal RNA
Rfam family: Bacterial small subunit ribosomal RNA
Source: RNAcentral
GUGGGGAAUAUUGCACAAUGGGCGCAAGCCUGAUGCAGCCAUGCCGCGUGUAUGAAGAAGGCCUUCGGGUUGUAAAGUACUUUCAGCGGGGAGGAAGGUGUUGUGGUUAAUAACCGCAGCAAUUGACGUUACCCGCAGAAGAAGCACCGGCUAACUCCGUGCCAGCAGCCGCGGUAAUACGGAGGGUGCAAGCGUUAAUCGGAAUUACUGGGCGUAAAGCGCACGCAGGCGGUCUGUCAAGUCGGAUGUGAAAUCCCCGGGCUCAACCUGGGAACUGCAUUCGAAACUGGCAGGCUGGAGUCUUGUAGAGGGGGGUAGAAUUCCAGGUGUAGCGGUGAAAUGCGUAGAGAUCUGGAGGAAUACCGGUGGCGAAGGCGGCCCCCUGGACAAAGACUGACGCUCAGGUGCGAAAGCGUGGGGAGCAAACAGGAUUAGAUACCCGAGUAGUCC